AUUGAACGCUGGCGGCAUGCUUUACACAUGCAAGUCGAACGGCAGCGCGGGCUUCGGCCUGGCGGCGAGUGGCGAACGGGUGAGUAAUGCAUCGGAACGUGCCCAGUAGUGGGGGAUAGCCCGGCGAAAGCCGGAUUAAUACCGCAUACGACCUGAGGGUGAAAGCGGGGGACCGAAAGGCCUUGCGCUCUUGGAGCGGCCGAUGUCGGAUUAGCUAGUUGGUGGGGUAAAGGCUUACCAAGGCGACGAUCCGUAGCUGGUCUGAGAGGACGACCAGCCACACUGGAACUGAGACACGGCCCAGACUCCUACGGGAGGCAGCAGUGGGGAAUUUUGGACAAUGGGGGCAACCCUGAUCCAGCCAUGCCGCGUGCGGGAAGAAGGCCUUCGGGUUGUAAACCGCUUUUGUUCGGGAAGAAAUCCUCUGGGCUAAUACCCCGGGGGGAUGACGGUACCGGAAGAAUAAGCACCGGCUAACUACGUG
This 484-nucleotide ribosomal RNA is filed under the name uncultured bacterium. RNAcentral's name for it is "partial 16S ribosomal RNA". It matches the Rfam family "Bacterial small subunit ribosomal RNA", at positions 28 to 507 of the family's 1533-position model. The record is from RNAcentral.